CAAGCAAGAAAGAGCACAAGGAGAAUGCCUUGGCACUAGGAGCCGAUGAAAGACGUGAUAAGCUGCGAUAAGCUUCGGGGAGGCGCAAAUAGCCAUCGAUCCGGAGAUUUCUGAAUGGGGAAACCUACUUGAGCAAACCUCAAGUAUCCAUACGUAAAUACAUAG
This 165-nucleotide ribosomal RNA is filed under the name Anaerotignum propionicum DSM 1682. RNAcentral's name for it is "23S rRNA. Bacterial LSU". It matches the Rfam family "Bacterial large subunit ribosomal RNA", at positions 1 to 169 of the family's 2925-position model. Lineage: Bacteria; Bacillati; Bacillota; Clostridia; Lachnospirales; Anaerotignaceae. The record is from RNAcentral.